This 741-nucleotide non-coding RNA is filed under the name Philometra sp. HZ-2022. The record is from RNAcentral. Lineage: Eukaryota; Metazoa; Nematoda; Chromadorea; Rhabditida; Philometridae.
AGUGGUCUAGUGAGAAUUUUGUUGAUACCACUUGUAACAAUUUAAUACUUGUUGAGGGUCUUGUAAAAGAUUAAAUAUCUAAGAUUGAAUUUAUGAAAUAGGCAAUGUGUAUUUACCUUGUUAUUUAAUUGAAUGUAAAAGACAGGUUCCAGAAUAAUCGGUUAUACUUGUUAUUUGUAUGAUCUAAUUGAUAAAGUUAAAGCAGGUUAAAAAAUUGUUUUAAAGUUAGCGAGUGGAAUGAGAAAAUUUUUGUUGUUAGGGAGUAGCUUUAAUUAAAAUAUUGAUAAACUAAUCGGGCUAGACACCGAGUAGUCAAAACUAAAAAGUGCAGGAGUAGAGUGAGGAAGAAACUGAAGGUACUUUGGCAGGUGUUUAAUUUUUCUUCGGGGGCUGGAACGUAAGCGAAAUUCCACGUUAGUAGCUGAUAUUUUAGACUCAUGUAUGAUCGUUUAUGUUAAUUUUGAGAAUUAACAGAGUUACUUAAUAAAGUGUAAAAGCAGAUAUAUACGUGGUAUAUGUAGUCAGAUUUUUCUGGGCCACAGUGGGUUAGUCCAAGUGUAGCAAGUAGUGACAUUUUGUGAAAAUUGUAGAAGAAAGUAAAAUUUAUCUUUAUAGUUAGUUUGAAUUUUAUUUGAAUGCGGUACAAAUUAUCCAUCAAUUGUCCAUAGGAGAGUAAGUUGUAGUAGAGUAGAGUUAGAGGAAUCUGAUUCUAGAGCCCAUAUUUCUUAACAGGAGGAGGGA